Small nucleolar RNA from Lolium rigidum, 116 nucleotides. RefSeq annotates it as small nucleolar RNA SNORD14. The record is from RefSeq and is a predicted model, not a curated record. The transcript has a single exon. Lineage: Eukaryota; Viridiplantae; Streptophyta; Magnoliopsida; Poales; Poaceae.
UCCAAAUGAUGAUGAAAUCAAGGAUUGUUUCUCAAAACAUUCGCAGUUGCCACCUAAGAGCUUUUGCCCUGACUGGCUUGAGAGUUAAUGAGAUCCUUCCUUCGAUGUCUGAUGCA